AUGGACCUGGCCUCCGCGCGCAGCCUCAACGGCGUGGGCGGCGCCUUUCGCACGACAUUGCGAUGCAUCAAGCACUGGGCCAAGGCGCGUGGCGUCUACUCCAACGUGAUGGGGUUCCUGGGCGGCGUGGGCUGGGCGAUCCUGGUGGCGCGCGUGUGCCAGCUUUACCCCAACGCCUCGCCGAGCAUGCUGGUGCCGCGCUUCUUCAAGAUCUUCGCGCAGUGGAAGUGGCCCAACCCGGUGCUUCUACGGGACAUCGAGCACGACGACGGCGGCGAGCUCGCGCUCCGGCUGCCCGUCUGGCACCCGCGGCGGAACCCGCGCGACAAGAGCCACAUCAUGCCCGUCAUCACGCCGGCCUACCCUUGCAUGAACUCGUGCUACAACGUCUCGCACGCCACCCUGCGGACCAUCACGGAGCAGCUCCAGAUCGGCAACGGCAUCUGCCAGGAGAUCCUCAAGGCCGGCCCCGGCGGCGCCGGCGGGUGGGACGCGCUGUUCCAGCCGUUCCAGUUCUUCAAGGCGUACAAGAGCUACCUGCAGGUGGACGUGAAGGUCGCCGGAGGGGAGGCCGACCUCCGGGAGUGGAAGGGGUGGGUGGAGUCGCGGCUGAGGCAGCUGGUGAACAGGGUCGAGAUGGCCACGGCCGGCAUGCUGCUCUGCCAUCCCAACCCGAAAGCCUACGUCGCCAAGCCCCAUGAUCUGCACUGCACGUCAACCUUCUUCGUGGGCUUGUCCAAGCCGCAGCAGCAACAGCAGCAGCAGCCCCAGGUGCCGUUCGACCUACGCGCGACGACGGAGGGGUUCAAGCAGGAGGUGUACACGUACGAGUUCUGGGGGCCCGGGAUGGAGCUGGAGGUCUCGCACACCCGGAGGAAGGACCUGCCAUCCUACGUGCUGGAUCAGAUCCUGCCGGCUGGGCAUCUCAAGAGGAAGCGCGCCGCCGAGAGCAACUCUUCUCCUCCGUUGUCGUCUGCUUCCGGCGACGUCAAGAAGGUGGCGGCGGCAGGCGGAACCGGAUCGGCGCCUGAGAGGAAGAGGCAAUGCUGUCCCAGCAGCAAUAUCCUCCCCAGCGCUUCAGUACAGGGCGUUGUGUGA
This 1098-nucleotide ribosomal RNA is filed under the name Triticum aestivum (bread wheat). RNAcentral's name for it is "partial small subunit ribosomal RNA". Lineage: Eukaryota; Viridiplantae; Streptophyta; Magnoliopsida; Poales; Poaceae. The record is from RNAcentral.